This 2456-nucleotide long non-coding RNA is filed under the name Olea europaea (common olive). RNAcentral's name for it is "long non-coding RNA (OEUR_LNC005618)". Lineage: Eukaryota; Viridiplantae; Streptophyta; Magnoliopsida; Lamiales; Oleaceae. The record is from RNAcentral.
GCUGCAUUAUUUAAAGUACUAGCAAUUGACUAUGAUGCUUAAAAGAAAGAAGAGAAAACUCAAAUCACAACCCCCUCACAAACAAACACUUACUUUUCUAUAUUUUGAACGCUUUUCCGUGUCAUCCGAAACAUUCCUUGAUGCAACAGAAAGUCUCUGCGGAAUUUGCUUCCCAGAAAAUGAAAUCCUCUCAAUAGGCUUUGGCGUCGAAAGGUUUUGGGAUGUAGAACUGUCAUCUGUUUUUCCGUCAUUGUCCGUGAACAUGGAAAGCUUAACUCGCCUUUUACCUGAAGUAGUGCUAUCUACUGUCAUGUCAUCUGCUAUUUGCACUAUUUCACUUCCUGGUUUGUAGUCAUCGGUGGUAUAACCCUUGAUUGAGGUUGUAGCAGAUUCUGAACUAACAUCAGGUUGAUAAAAAGGAUGACGAGCCAAAGCAGACAGAACAGUGUCUCGACUUGAAGCAAGAAUACCAUGAGAACAAAGAGCCAAUUCACGCUGCAAGCAGAGAACAGAAGAAAAUGAUCAUGUGACAGUGACAGAACCACCAAAAAGGCCAAAUUGGCACAUCUUAUACACAAAAACAUAGCAGCACCAGUGAUAUACUUCUGUUGGAAGGAAAACUAGAAAGACAAGACAAAAGAUCAGUAUGGGGGAAGACAAUCAAGGUGGAGGCUCACUUUCAAUUUCUCUCGUUUGACAAUUCUUUCACAUAGAAGACGCAAUCUUUCCAAUUCAACCUGCAUAAAAUAAUCCAUAGUAUAAAGAGAACAAAUGCAUCAAAAUGAAAGAGUUCAUUGUAGCCACAAAAAGAUAACAAGCGAUAGAAUAACAUAAACCAACAUACACAGCUGAUUUGUAGUCGUUUUUAAAACAACAGAGCCAGCCAACCAAGAAAAUAAAACAAAGAAUAAGCAGGUAAAAGAUAGGUCUAUUUAAAUAAGAUGAAAGGCCAUAGAAACUGCCAUCCAUAAGAACACAACAAAUAACAUUGACAACUAAAUUAUUAACGACAGACACAAGAAAAACCGGCACAUUCAAUCUCUUCAUGGUCUAGAAACUCCAAACAAGAAGAGUAAUAUCAAUACUGUUAAUGCGUUCACAAGAUUAACAAAAAAAGGGGGAACGUACAGAUUUGGAUUCCGUCAAUAGAGAUUAAGAAUGCAUAAAAGAAAAAAGAUACAUGCACCUCCCUGAGGGUCAAUUGAAGGUAGACAAACGAAGGUUCUGAAAAUAACAUUGUCCUCCCCUCAGUGUUGAGAUGGAAUUAAAAAAAAAAUUCCAAAACAAUUCAUAAACCCUCUACCCUUUGCAUAAAAAGACCAAAAAAUCAAAAAAAAAAAAAAAGAGAGAGAGAAAAAGAACCACCAAUCUUUAUCUCCAAAGAUGAAAAAUUCAUACUCCCACCAAGCUAACUGCAACUGCUAUUGUCAUUUUUUUACCUUGUGCAGAAUCUUCAUAAUAAAUAUUGACAUUGUAAAGACAUGACCCAAUUGCAAAAGGAAACCCUAUCUUCUUCCUCUCAAUCUCCAUAAUUUCAAUCCAUGAUCUUCAUCAUGACGGGUUUGUGCCACCACUGCCAUUACAUAAACAAGCUUGAAGACCUGAAGCAGCACGGCAAUACCUUCCCACAGAUUUAUACAAUUACAAGCAUAGCUUCAAUUGCCUUUUCCAGCAAGGAAAAUAAAGAAACAAAAAUUUCGGUAAAAAGCAACCUAACUAGAGCAAAUUGAGAUACAUGCAAUGGCAAUACUUCCCUAACCCACUGUACAGUGUACGUCCUCAGACAACGCAUGUACAACAUUCCCCGUCAAGACGAGGGAGGCCAGCCAUUCUCGAGCACAGUACAUGUUAGUGCCAAGAAAGAGAACAUUCCACAAUGGGAAUUUCCCAACAUCCAGAAAUGCAUCUGGGAUUUCAAAGAAUCGAGCUAUCCAUUUUGUUCAACUGGUUCCUGCGAACUCAAAUCUGGAGUUGUCUCCUUGUCCUUAGGAAGGGACCGAAUUGGAACAUAAACAAAUCCUUUAGGUAGCCGCUGAUUCUUCAUAGAUGCUUGAUCUGAUGUCAUCACCAACUCUUUUGCCAAAGUUUCAGUAUGCUGCAUUAUUUAAAGUACUAGCAAUUGACUAUGAUGCUUAAAAGAAAGAAGAGAAAACUCAAAUCACAACCCCCUCACAAACAAACACUUACUUUUCUAUAUUUUGAACGCUUUUCCGUGUCAUCCGAAACAUUCCUUGAUGCAACAGAAAGUCUCUGCGGAAUUUGCUUCCCAGAAAAUGAAAUCCUCUCAAUAGGCUUUGGCGUCGAAAGGUUUUGGGAUGUAGAACUGUCAUCUGUUUUUCCGUCAUUGUCCGUGAACAUGGAAAGCUUAACUCGCCUUUUACCUGAAGUAGUGCUAUCUACUGUCAUGUCAUCUGCUAUUUGCACUAUUUCACUUCCUGGUUUGUAGUCAUCGGUGG